CACUACUGUGCCUGUGUCAUCAAAGACACGUGGGUUAAGCCCAACGGAGUAGUCAGAAGACAGUCUUCAGAAAGGACUCCCAAGUUCAAAAGGACUCUCCCAGCUGUCCCCGAGACAGCUUGAAGACACCCCUCGAGAAAGGACAUCCUGCCCUUGCUUCUGUGGGUUUGCAUCCAGGAUGAACCUCCACCCCACCCACAUAGGGGUUUUCUUUCUGAAGCUGACAGUGCUUGGGAGCCGGGGACUCAGUGUCACGCUGGCAGUAUGCUGCUGCAGAUGAUGUGGGGGUUUGUUCUCCAUCUCUUCCUGAUGGUGGGAGGUGCUGCAGGACAAGGCGUGGAGCAGCCUGCUGAGUGGAUGUCUCUGGAGGGAACCUCUGCUCAGGUCAAUUGCACGUACAGCACGUCAGGGUUCAACGGGCUAACCUGGUACCGGCAACAUGAAGGCCAAGCACCUGAAUUUCUUUCUUAUGAUGUCUUGGAUGGUCUGAAGGACAGUGGGCGUUUUUCUACAUUCCUGAGCCGCUCGGAGAGGUACAGUUACCUCCUUCUGACAGAACUCCAGAUCAAAGACUCUGCCUCUUACCUCUGUGCUGUGAGGGACACGGUGACUGUGACGCCUCCGCAGCUGCACAAAAAUUCAAAGAGGGCCACAGCAGGGGCAGGGUUAUAUUCCCUUAGUGUGUGCUUGGUGUGAACAAAAACUGGGUCCCUCGGAGACAGCCUGGAUUUGAGUUCGCCACUUUCUAGAUGGGUGGUCUUAAGCAAGCCACUUUAACUUAAAGUAAUUUUUACAUUUGUUGAUUUUUUUUUAUUGUUAGUUGAGUUUUCUCAUGUGUAAAAUGGGGCUCCUGAUAAACGGUGCCUGCCUCACAGGGGUGCUGGGAGCUGAGUCUACCUCUGCAUAGUGUAACAGAGUGGGGCUGGCUCAUAGCAAGCCCUCUGGAAGCUUAUUAUUUCACUUGCCAUCUUGAUGCCUCCCUUAGGGUCACUCAGCAGAAGUGCUGGGAUUUGAUCCAGGAUUUCUGUAUCCCGUGUGGGAAGUAAAAUGCUGAAAAUGCUUGAAUCUUCUGAAUCUAAAGCUGCAAGAUAGCAUUUGCUCAUGAGGCAGGUUUUUUUUUUUUUUUUCCAAUCUGGAGAAACA
Molecule: non-coding RNA, 1143 nt
Organism: Peromyscus leucopus (white-footed mouse)
Lineage: Eukaryota; Metazoa; Chordata; Mammalia; Rodentia; Cricetidae
Source: the annotation of a RefSeq genome assembly